UUAAGCGACCAAGCGUACACGGUGGAUGCCCUGGCAGUCAGAGGCGAUGAAGGACGUGCUAAUCUGCGAAAAGCGCCGGUAAGGUGAUAUGAACCGCUACAGCCGGCGAUGUCCGAAUGGGGAAACCCAGUGUGACUCGUCACACUAUCAUUGCGUGAAUACAUAGCGUAAUGAAGCGAACCGGGGGAACUGAAACAUCUAAGUACCCCGAGGAAAAGAAAUCAACCGAGAUUCCCCCAGUAGCGGCGAGCGAACGGGGAGCAGCCCAGAGCCUGCAUCAGCUUGUGUGUUAGUGGAAGCGUCUGGAAAGGCGCACGGUACAGGGUGACAGUCCCGUACACAAAAGCACACAGGCUGUGAGCUCGAUGAGUAGGGCGGGACACGUGGUAUCCUGUCUGAAUAUGGGGGGACCAUCCUCCAAGGCUAAAUACUCCUGACUGACCGAUAGUGAACCAGUACCGUGAGGGAAAGGCGAAAAGAACCCCGGCGAGGGGAGUGAAACAGAACCUGAAACCGUGUACGUACAAGCAGUGGGAGCACCUUCGUGGUGUGACUGCGUACCUUUUGUAUAAUGGGUCAGCGACUUAUAUUCUGUAGCAAGGUUAACCGCAUAGGGGAGCCGAAGGGAAACCGAGUCUUAACCGGGCGCUAAGUUGCAGGGUAUAGACCCGAAACCCGGUGAUCUAGCCAUGGGCAGGUUGAAGGUUGGGUAACACUAACUGGAGGACCGAACCGACUAAUGUUGAAAAAUUAGCGGAUGACCUGUGGCUGGGGGUGAAAGGCCAAUCAAACCGGGAGAUAGCUGGUUCUCCCCGAAAGCUAUUUAGGUAGCGCCUCGUGAAUUCAUCUCCGGGGGUAGAGCACUGUUUCGGCUAGGGGGCCAUCCCGGCUUACCAACCCGAUGCAAACUGCGAAUACCGGAGAAUGUUAUCACGGGAGACACACGGCGGGUGCUAACGUCCGUCGUGAAGAGGGAAACAACCCAGACCGCCAGCUAAGGUCCCAAAGUCAUGGUUAAGUGGGAAACGAUGUGGGAAGGCCCAGACAGCCAGGAUGUUGGCUUAGAAGCAGCCAUCAUUUAAAGAAAGCGUAAUAGCUCACUGGUCGAGUCGGCCUGCGCGGAAGAUGUAACGGGGCUAAACCAUGCACCGAAGCUGCGGCAGCGACACGUAAGUGUUGUUGGGUAGGGGAGCGUUCUGUAAGCCGUUGAAGGUGUGCUGUGAGGCAUGCUGGAGGUAUCAGAAGUGCGAAUGCUGACAUAAGUAACGAUAAAGCGGGUGAAAAGCCCGCUCGCCGGAAGACCAAGGGUUCCUGUCCAACGUUAAUCGGGGCAGGGUGAGUCGACCCCUAAGGCGAGGCCGAAAGGCGUAGUCGAUGGGAAACGGGUUAAUAUUCCCGUACUCGGCGUUACUGCGAAGGGGGGACGGAGAAGGCUAUGUUGGCCGGGCGACGGUUGUCCCGGUUUAAGCGUGUAGGCUGAGCAUCCAGGCAAAUCCGGAUGCUUAAGGCUGAGGCGUGACGACGAGGCGCUACGGCGCUGAAGCAACAAAUGCCCUGCUUCCAGGAAAAGCCUCUAAGCAUCAGGUAACGUCGAAUCGUACCCCAAACCGACACAGGUGGUCAGGUAGAGAAUACCAAGGCGCUUGAGAGAACUCGGGUGAAGGAACUAGGCAAAAUGGUGCCGUAACUUCGGGAGAAGGCACGCUGGCGCGUAGGUGAGGGGACUUGCUCCCGGAGCCGAGGCCAGUCGAAGAUACCAGCUGGCUGCAACUGUUUAUUAAAAACACAGCACUGUGCAAACACGAAAGUGGACGUAUACGGUGUGACGCCUGCCCGGUGCCGGAAGGUUAAUUGAUGGGGUCAGCCGCAAGGCGAAGCUCCUGAUCGAAGCCCCGGUAAACGGCGGCCGUAACUAUAACGGUCCUAAGGUAGCGAAAUUCCUUGUCGGGUAAGUUCCGACCUGCACGAAUGGCGUAAUGAUGGCCAGGCUGUCUCCACCCGAGACUCAGUGAAAUUGAACUCGCUGUGAAGAUGCAGUGUACCCGCGGCAAGACGGAAAGACCCCGUGAACCUUUACUACAGCUUGACACUGAACACCGGUCCUUGAUGUGCAGGAUAGGUGGGAGGCUUUGAAGCGUGGACGCCAGUCCGCGUGGAGCCGCCCUUGAAAUACCACCCUUUAAUGGCUGGUGUUCUAACGUUGGCCCGUAAUCCGGGCUGCGGACAGUGUCUGGUGGGUAGUUUGACUGGGGCGGUCUCCUCCCAAAGCGUAACGGAGGAGUACGAAGGUCAGCUAAUCACGGUCGGACAUCGUGAGGUUAGUGCAAUGGCAUAAGCUGGCUUGACUGCGAGCGUGACGGCGCGAGCAGGUGCGAAAGCAGGUCAUAGUGAUCCGGUGGUUCUGAAUGGAAGGGCCAUCGCUCAACGGAUAAAAGGUACUCCGGGGAUAACAGGCUGAUACCGCCCAAGAGUUCAUAUCGACGGCGGUGUUUGGCACCUCGAUGUCGGCUCAUCACAUCCUGGGGCUGAAGUAGGUCCCAAGGGUAUGGCUGUUCGCCAUUUAAAGUGGUACGCGAGCUGGGUUUAGAACGUCGUGAGACAGUUCGGUCCCUAUCUGCCGUGGGCGCUGGAAGACUGAGAGGGGUUGCUCCUAGUACGAGAGGACCGGAGUGAACGCACCGCUGGUGUUCGGGUUGUCAUGCCAAUGGCACUGCCCGGUAGCUACGUGCGGAAGAGAUAAGUGCUGAAAGCAUCUAAGCACGAAACUUGCCUCGAGAUGAGUCUUCCCUGAGGCCUUUGAGCCUCCUGAAGGGACGUUGAAGACGACGACGUUGAUAGGCCGGGUGUGUAAGCGCAGCGAUGCGUUGAGCUGACCGGUACUAAUGACCCGUGAGGCUUAACCUU
RNAcentral lists this ribosomal RNA (2904 nucleotides) under Mixta theicola. RNAcentral's name for it is "23S ribosomal RNA". It matches the Rfam family "Bacterial large subunit ribosomal RNA". Lineage: Bacteria; Pseudomonadati; Pseudomonadota; Gammaproteobacteria; Enterobacterales; Erwiniaceae. The record is from RNAcentral.